Molecule: long non-coding RNA, 867 nt
Filed under: Marmota monax (woodchuck)
Lineage: Eukaryota; Metazoa; Chordata; Mammalia; Rodentia; Sciuridae
Source: RNAcentral
GGAUAGUAAGGAUGCUGGCAGGGAGGCAGCAAGAAGAUGCCAAGGGCUGGGCAGAGAGGGGAAGAGAAGGUGCUGCAAAAGGCAGUGGGUAAGGAAGGGCUAAGGCAAGGAAGACCCUCAAAGAGACCAGAGUUAGGGGAGAAAGGUGAGGAGAAAGGACCAGAGGGCCUGGGAGAGCUGAUAAAAAGCCUAGGAGAUACAUAAGAGAUCAGAAGAAUAGGUGAGAAGAACUGGGGGUGGCAGGCAGAGGACUUGGUUAGCAGCCAACACUAGCAUAGAGUGAAGAUCAUAGGAAAGGACAGAUCUGGGGGCAUGGAGUGGUAUGGGGAGUGGUAGGUAGAACAUGAGGAAUGCAGCAGGGCCUGAGAGAGAAGGCAGGAGAGGAAGAUCCUGCACUAAAACUCUAAAGCUAAAAAUAACAAGACACAGGAGUGAGGAGAAGAAAAGAGGGCAGGGUGAGGCAGAAAGAGAUUGAGAGGAGCCCAGGGAAGUCAGGCAGCUGGCACUUCAGGUGGGGAUGGACGCUUUACUUCUGUUCUCUUCCUCCAGGAGACCAAUGACCUCCGCCCCAAGACCUGAUAACACUCCAGUCCCAGGCCACUACAUUCAUACUACUGUCAUGGAAGACAGGAUGCUUCCUUUUGCUCCAGAACUGGGAAUUCAUCACAGCCUGAAAUCCAGGCUCAGUGAUGGUCACCUGGGCACUGUUGCAGUGUGAGGUGUUCUAGUGGGCCUGAGCUCCCUUUGGAGCCUAGGCAGGGGUCAGCCCUCACGCAGGUCUGGGUAAGCAGCAGGGGAUGCUUAUGCUUGGAGGGUUGGCUGGAGAAAAGUGCUGCGGAGGCAGGCAGGGGUGUUAGGGACACUAAC